GAGCUUAAGGGAUAUCUAAGGAAUGAAUUUGGGAUUUUCAGUCAGUAUUAAGGAAAACCUCUUCCGAAGCUGUGGCAGCAAGAAUAAAUAGCUUAAAAGAAGUUAACAAGCUUUGAAUAGAAUCGAACCGUUAAGCUUUUUACAACUGAAUGUUUAUUUUUGCUCUGCAGAAGCAGUGAUAUGUAUUUAGUGAGGUGUUUUGGAUAUCUCUGAGCUUUAAAGCUGAAGUUCUGCAUGGUGGUGUGUUUGCUGCAGCUGAGGCUGGAGAACCGAUCUGGACUAACACAAACGGGUUUAUCUCUGCCAGGAUGCUUUGCACUCAGGACCUCACACUAAUCAAGGUAAAAUACAUGGAGCAUAUCCUUGACAUGAAUCUUGCUGCUGGUAUAAGUGCCUCAGAACUUGACAAACUUCACCAAGGCAGCUGCAGGACAAAUUCUUGAAGACAUUU
RNAcentral lists this long non-coding RNA (451 nucleotides) under Manacus vitellinus (golden-collared manakin). RNAcentral's name for it is "lncRNA (ENSMVIG00005019845.1)". Lineage: Eukaryota; Metazoa; Chordata; Aves; Passeriformes; Pipridae. The record is from RNAcentral.